RNAcentral lists this ribosomal RNA (79 nucleotides) under uncultured bacterium. RNAcentral describes it as "partial 16S ribosomal RNA". The record is from RNAcentral.
UUAGAUACCCUGGUAGUCCACGCCCUAAACGAUGAGUACUAAGUGUUGGUGAGAAUCAGUGCUGAAGUUAACGCAUUAA